Molecule: ribosomal RNA, 16 nt
Filed under: Dasymutilla candida
Lineage: Eukaryota; Metazoa; Arthropoda; Insecta; Hymenoptera; Mutillidae
Description: partial 28S ribosomal RNA
Source: RNAcentral
ACCUACAGAGUCAGGC